Molecule: ribosomal RNA, 440 nt
Filed under: uncultured bacterium
Lineage: Bacteria
Description: partial 16S ribosomal RNA
Rfam family: Bacterial small subunit ribosomal RNA
Source: RNAcentral
CCUACGGGAGGCAGCAGUGGGGAAUAUUGCACAAUGGGGGAAACCCUGAUGCAGCGACGCCGCGUGAGUGAAGAAGUCUUUAGGUAUGUAAAGCUCUAUCUGCAGGGAAGAAAAUGACGGUACCUGACUAAGAAGCCACGGCUAACUACGUGCCAGCAGCCGCGGUAAUACGGAGGGGGCAAGCGUUAUCCGGAUUUACUGGGUGUAAAGGGAGCGUAGACGGCGCGGCAAGUCUGAAGUGAAAGUCAGGGGCUUAACCCCUGAACUGCUAUUGAUACUGCCAGGCUAGAGUGCUGGUGAGGUAAGUGGAAUUCCUAGUGUAGCGGUGAAAUGCGUAGAUAUUAGGAAGAACACCAGUGGCGAAGGCAGCUUACUGGACUGUAACUGACGUUGAGGCUCGAAAGCGUGGGGAGCAAACAGGAUUAGAUACCCUUGUAGUC